Molecule: ribosomal RNA, 335 nt
Filed under: Tachina praeceps
Lineage: Eukaryota; Metazoa; Arthropoda; Insecta; Diptera; Tachinidae
Description: partial 12S ribosomal RNA
Source: RNAcentral
CUUCUGUGGUAAUAGUUAUGUUCUUGAAACUUAAAAAAUUUGGCGGUAUUUUAGUCUAUUCAGAGGAACCUGUUUUAUAAUCGAUAAUCCACGAUGGACCUUACUUAAGUUUGUAAUCAGUUUAUAUACCGUCGUUAUUAGAAUAUUUUAUUAGAAAGAUAAUUUUCAGGAUUUUAUAAAAGAAAAUAUAUCAGAUCAAGGUGUAGCUUAUAUUUAAGUAAAAAUGGGUUACAAUAAAAUUAUUUAUAUGAAUAUAAACUUGAAAUAUUUAUUGAAGGUGGAUUUGAUAGUAAAAUUAUAAAGAUUAAUAAUUUGAUUUUAGCUCUAAAAUAUGU